Bombus huntii is the source of this 2017-nucleotide long non-coding RNA. RefSeq lists it as uncharacterized. The transcript has 2 exons. The record is from RefSeq and is a predicted model, not a curated record. Lineage: Eukaryota; Metazoa; Arthropoda; Insecta; Hymenoptera; Apidae.
CGCGCACCUACCACCUGAACGACCACCCACCAGUUCUUCAAUCCAAAGUACCACCACGAGAACCGAUCAGCUGAGCUCUACGAUGUAUGUAUGUGGCUUGUAUGUCUGAGAAACAUCGAAAGCAUGUUUUCAAACAUCGAUGCAUCCACCUUAACGAGCUUCCAUAAAUAAGCGUCUUUUUUAUACCCUACGAUAUUUCGACAGCCUUCCAAACGAUCUCCCUGCUGUCGUAAAUAACGCUUUCAACGGUUAGGGGAAAGUUUCGUCAUGUGCAUCGAAGCUUUGUCAAAGGUUACGGUAACUAAGUGCGUCAGUAUAACUUUCUUUAAAGUUCUUUGUUAAAUUUCUAUCUGAAAGAAGUGAAUAUUGAAUCAGAAUAUUAGGUUUCCGGGCUAAAGGUUCUUGAACAAUUGAUGCAAAGGUAUUAUUCGAAAAUAAAUCUUCCUCGUCUAUUUUGAGCCGAUCCAUUCAGGGAAGAUUCCUAUUGAGAGGAAGACUCGCGUAGAAUUCAAAGCGCGCGGAACACCUUGUUAAUGCAUUAAGACAGCGCGAGAGCCUAGUAAUUGGCACUUGUAAAUUUAAUUACCGACAAAUGAGUUGUAACAGAGACAUGAAUACCAGCUAAGACAGAGAAGAGAAUAUGAAAAGGUAUUAACGAUGUAAUACAUAUUCCUAUGUAAUCUCUGGGAAAUUAAUUCACACGUAUAAUAAACCGUGCGUGAUAAAAUUACGGCGACCUCCGUGGUCGGUGAUUUCGUACGUAUGUAGGAGAAAUUAUGGCGUGAUCAAUUGACUGAAGCUGUCCUUGCCCUCGAGACGAAGUUGGCUCGUUUCCAGGGCGAAAGGUAUCGCGUCGCUUCUCCUGGUCACGGUACACCUCGCCAAGAUCACGGACGACUAGUCAGACCUGGAGGACGCUGCUUGUAUACCCUCUCAAAUCGCAAACAAACAGAUAUUGGUGUUCGAUAAAACAAAAAUGAAGAGCAUUCGAAGGAAAUCGUGUUCAGAAAUCAAUACCGACCACCGAGGAAAUGUUCUCGAGCUACGUAGGUACAUUCAGAAACCGUACCAAUACCAACGACAUCCUUGGACGUCGUUUCAGAACAGAUUCUUUCAUGCAUGACAAGAUAUGAAUCCCAAACGGAAUCUUUGAUUAAAACGUUAGGCUAACGUAAACGUAAAAGCUAUCGAGUUGAUCGGUAUAUUCUCAUUCGCAUUCUUCAGAUAAGUAUUGCUUAACUUAUUGACAGCAUGACGAAUAGCUUUAGGUGGUUUCAAAUCAUCGGAUAAAGGUUUAAAAUAGAAAAUUACGAGACAAUAGACAAAAGCAUUGCCUCGUGGUUGCGAUUCGUUGCAACUUAUGUCGUAACUCCAGAUUUGCCUUCAAAGCGUACCAAGAGAACGAGCUUCAUAUUCUUGAGAGAUAUUUGGUCGUGAAAGUUAUACUCAGAAUAAUGAUGAUCUCUAGUGAUCACGUGGAAGGAUGGACACACAUGUAGAUGCGCUUUGUAGGAAAUGUCGAUCGCGCAGCGCAACGUGCCGGAUGCCGGUAAGAUAAUGCGGCCAUGUCAUGACGCGUACUUCAAUCUGCACGCCUGCAGAGUGGUUCGAGGUCUAACGUUCCUCGAACGCGAAACGUAGUCAAUGUGUAAUGAAAACGUUCCCUAGGUCGACAGGAAGUAUCGAGGAAGUCAUAUCGAAUGGAUGAUGCUGGUGAGAAAACAAUAGAUGAAUUAAUUCCGAGAAUGACGAAUCAGAAUGCCUCGUCGGAAAAGAAUAUGAAUUUUUACGUAGAUAUACAAAAUACAGUGGCUCGAUAUAAAUGCACUUGAAGCUUGAAUGUUAAAGUUCGAGCUACUCGGAUGGAUGUUUUAAUUUUUACCUACAAUUACAGGUAAUAUUAAUAUAUAAAUUCCAAUAUACGGAGCGUUAUUCACAUUAUGAAACUUUAAUGAAAAAUCAAGAGGUUCUGAAUAAAAAAUAAUCGCGAUGGCGAUUAGGUAGAUAAGGAAAUAGA